AUACGAGGGGCCCGAGCGUUAGGCGGAAUCACUGGGCUUAAAGCGUGCGCAGGCGGAUCGGCAAGCGUCUUGUGAAAACCCACGGCUCAACCGUGGAACUGCAGGGCGAACUGCCGGUCUUGAGGCAGGUAGGGGUCAACGGAACUGUCGGUGGAGCGGUGAAAUGUGUAGAUAUCGACAGGAACGCCGGUGGCGAAGGCGGUUGACUGGGCCUGUCCUGACGCUCAGGCACGAAAGCGUGGGGAGCAAACAGGAUUAGAAACCCCAGUAGUCC
Molecule: ribosomal RNA, 274 nt
Filed under: uncultured bacterium
Lineage: Bacteria
Description: partial 16S ribosomal RNA
Rfam family: Bacterial small subunit ribosomal RNA
Source: RNAcentral